CCUACGGGAGGCAGCAGUGAGGAAUAUUGGUCAAUGGACGAGAGUCUGAACCAGCCAAGUAGCGUGAAGGAUGACUUCCCUAUGGGUUUUAAACUUCUUUUAUAAAGGAAUAAAACGAGGCACGUGUGCCUUUUUGCAUGUACUUUAUUAAUAAGGAUCGGCUAACUCCGUGCCAGCAGCCGCGGUAAUACGGAGGAUCCGAGCGUUAUCCGGAUUUAUUUGGUUUAAAGGGAGCGUAGAUGGGUUGUUAAGUCAGUUGUGAAAGUUUGCGGCGCAACCGUAAAAUUGCAAUUGAUACUGGCAGUCUUGAGUACAGUUGAGGUAGGCGGAAUUCGUGGUGUAGCGGUGAAAUGCUUAGAUAUCACGAAGAACCCCGAUUGCGAAGGCAGCUUACUAAACUGUGACUGACAUUGAUGCUCGAAAGUGUGGGUAUCAAACAGGAUUAGAUACCCCAGUAGUC
RNAcentral lists this ribosomal RNA (460 nucleotides) under uncultured bacterium. RNAcentral's name for it is "partial 16S ribosomal RNA". It matches the Rfam family "Bacterial small subunit ribosomal RNA", at positions 338 to 795 of the family's 1533-position model. The record is from RNAcentral.